Molecule: ribosomal RNA, 500 nt
Filed under: uncultured bacterium
Lineage: Bacteria
Description: partial 16S ribosomal RNA
Rfam family: Bacterial small subunit ribosomal RNA
Source: RNAcentral
AUUGAACGCUGGCGGAAUGCUUUACACAUGCAAGUCGAACGGCAGCACGGACUUCGGUCUGGUGGCGAGUGGCGAACGGGUGAGUAAUGUAUCGGAACGUGCCCAGUCGUGGGGGCUAACGUAGUGAAAGUUACGCUAAUACCGCAUACGAUCUAUGGAUGAAAGCGGGGGAUCGCAAGACCUCGCGCGAUUGGAGCGGCCGAUAUCCGAUUAGGUAGUUGUUGAGGUAAAGGCCCACCAAGCCAACGAUCUGUAGCUGGUCUGAGAGGAAGACCAGGCACACUGGAACUGAGACACGGUCCAGAGUCCUAAGGGAGGCAGCAGUGGGUAAUUUUGGACAAGGGGGGAGAGCCUGAUCCAGCCAUUCCGCGUGCAGGAUGAAGGCCCGCGGGUUGUAAACUGCUUUUGUACAGAACGAAAAGGUUUCUACUAAUACUAGGAGCUCAUGACGGUGCUGUAAGAAUAAGCACCGGCUAACUACGUGCCAGCAGCCGCCGCAG